AUGGGUAAUUCAAGAAGUAGGGCGGUUGAUCAGCUACCAGAAGAGGACGUUUCUACAGUCCUUACAAGAUCUACAGUAGUUGAAGAUAACAAUGCAAGCAUCUUACCCAUAGCUCAAAGUGGUGUGGACAAUUCAGCUACGGUUACAGAUGGAGAGCAUAAAGAGGAUUCAUUCACAGCUCCGAAUACCAAUGAUUUGGAUUUUAGUUUAAAUGAAUAUGAGGGUGAACCUCCAAAUGAAUAUAUCAAUGGUGGGACAAAUCUACCAGACUGUAAGGAACUUAACAAAGCCUUGAGGCGGGAAACUUACCACAUUAGCAAAAAACAGGGUUUGAAAAUACAACAAGUCGAUGGCCACAACGUUGAACGCCGUGCCCUAGGUGAUAUCACGAAUGUUCGUCAACCUAAACUUGUGAUCUCGGGUACAUCAGAUAAUGCUGCACUAACGGAAGAAGAUCGCAAAAGAGCCCAUAGAAACACCUUGAGGAGAGCUUCUUAUCGUAGGAAAAAAGAACUUGCUCUCGAAGAAGAUAAACUCCGCGCCAUUAAUUUGUCUGACAACGCAACUAGCUCUGCCUAUACAACAUUAUUAUCGCAUCCUGAUACAGCAUUUACUGCUACAUCUACUGAGACAUAUGGUCUGGUUAACGACAAUGAUCAAAAUGACGACAUCAAUGUGUUCCCAGAGCCCAUGAUGGGCGAUGAGCCGACACCAGCCGAAUUGAUGGGUGAGGAGUACUACAUGUAUCUUGACCAAGGAUCCGAUAAUGACGCAUUCGAGGAUGACGAGGAAGCUAGCAUGACGUCUUUUAUAUCUGGCGAGAUCGAGCUUAAACAACCGGAACCAAUCCCAGAGCUUAUGAGGCUAUGGUCCAGCAUGGAUGCAGAUUCCAGACAUUUUCGUGAGAACAUACGGUUCUUCAAUGGGCAUUUCGCCUUCACAACCCUUGGCGUCAGCCUUGAUGAGAACUACACAAACAUGAAUCUGGGGUAUACACAUUCCGGGAGUUUGGGUGCACACAAGGACAACCUUGAUGAUUAUAGGAUAGACCUAAACACCGAUAAGAGGCUUGACCAAAGAACAUAUAAUAGACCUUUGUCAUCUGAGGUUGCUGCAAUUUGGGUUGAGGGCAGCGACCUGGCAAAAAGGUUUGACCGUAGGAUAACACUUUAUGAGGGAAAUAGAAGCUUGUGCAUCUCCGUCAGAGACUACUACUGUUAUAUGCUGCAGACACGGCCUGCAAUCUUCAAUCCCAUACUCUGUGGAGCACGACUGCUGCAGCAAUGGGCUGUUGACAUGUACGUUAAGAUUGAGAGCUGUCGGUUGAGGUGGUACAGGAAGAACCAGACGCAGAUUCGUGCCGACUUGUAUAAAGGAGUGGUUGAUGCCAUCACUUCAGGGGAGACGCGGGCAAGCGCUGUUGGGGUUAGAAUAGUGCUCCCUGGGACAUACCCUGGUGGCGACCGCGACAUGAAGAAGAGACAUAUGGAUGCCAUGGCAAUUCUCCAUACAUACGGGAAGCCAGACAUCUUCCUCACCAUGACUUGCAAUCCUAAAUGGGACGAGAUAACAAACGAGUUGCUGCCUGGUCAGACGGCGCAAGACCGACCUGAUAUUGUUGCUCGUGUGUUCUAUGGCAAACUAGAGCACAUGAAGUACAUGUUGUUCAAGAAGCAGAUCCUGGGUGUUGUAGUUGCUUACUAUGACCGACUCAUUUCCGUGGAGCUCCCAGACAAGCACAAGUAUCCGGAAUUGUAUGCAAUGGUGGUAAAGCAUAUGAUGCACGGACCAUGUGGUGCUCUCAACCCGAAGAAUGUUUGCAUGCAAGAAAACGGUUGCAAGUGCAGAUAUCCACAGCCGUUCAAUGAGAACACAGCACAGGGGAAGGACUCAUACCCAGUGUAUCGACGGAGAGACGAUGGAAGACGUGCUAAGGUCACAGGGAAGAUGCUGGACAACAGAUGGGUUGUACAUUAUAACCCAUACCUACUGCGGAUGUUCAAUUGCCACAUCAACGUUGAGGUCUGCUCUAGCAUAAAGGCUGUGAAAUAUCUUUACAAGUAUAUUUACAAGGGCCAUGAUAAGGCUUCUUUCAGCAUCGAUCAGCUCGAUGCCGAUGGUAACAUUGAUGAGAUCAAGAGGUACGUUGACGCUAGGUGGGUCACACCUCCGGAGGCUAUGUGGAGGAUAUUUGGCUUCCCACUUUGCACCAAUUACCCGCCUGUCUUGCAGUUGCCCCUUCAUCUCCCUAAUAUGCACAGGGUUGUGUUCAAUGCGCAGGCUGACUUGAAGAAUGUUGUAGCCUCCGAAAAUGCUUCAAAAUCCAUGUUAACGGAGUAUUUCAAGGCUAACCUGGAACACCCUCGGGCUAGGCAUAUAUUGUACAAGGAUUUUCCCGGAAGCUUUACGUGGCAGAAGAAAAAGAAGUAUUGGAAGCCGCGGGCCGAGCGUUUUCAAAUUGGGCGCAUAGUGUCUGCCAAUCCUGCCGAGGGGGAGCGAUACUACCUGCGGGUGUUGCUUAACCAUGUUACGGGCAAAACAUCCUUCGACAACUUGCUCACCGUGGAUAGCGUGCUAUGUGGGAGCUUUAGAGAGGCUGCUGAAAGGUUGGGACUCAUCGAGGCAGACAACACGCUCGACGACUGUCUUAAUGAGGCUGAGCAGUGGGCGAUGCCAUGUUCACUUAGGAGGCUCUUCGCAACCAUCUUGGUGCACUGCGAGCCAGGCGAUUCAAUGGGUAAAGACAUUGUUGAUUUCGCUCUUCCAAUCAUAGAUGAUGCGUUUGACCCUACAGAGGGCGAGGCAAGAGAGUUUAUCGAGGAAUCAACCGUUGAGUUUGACAUGGAUGACACAAAAUUGGCAUCUUCACUCAACAUGGAGCAGAGGGCCGCAUACGAUGAGAUACUAGGGGCUGUUGAACGCGGUGAUGGGGGUGUUUUCUUUGUUGAUGGCCCUGGAGGUACAGGUAAGACCUUCCUAUAUAGGGUGAUGCUUGCCAAGGUGAGAAGCCAAGGCAAGAUUGGUAUCGCUACCGCGACGUCCGGUGUCGCCGCUUCUAUCAUGCCUGGCGGCAGGACUACCCACUCCAAGUUCAAGAUCCCAUUGAGUUGCGAUGAUGGAGCCUCGUGCAGCUUCACCAAGCAGAGUGGGACCGCCAAGCUGCUACGGAUGGCCUCCUUGAUCAUAUGGGACGAGGCCAGCAUGACAAAGCGACAAGCGGUUGAGGCAUUGGAUAAUAGCAUGCGCGACAUAAUGGGAAUACGCGACCGACCCUUUGGAGGAAAGACUGUUGUUUUUGGCGGGGACUUUAGGCAGGUUCUUCCGGUCGUCAGAAGGGGGUCGCGGGGCCAGAUAAUUGAUGCAACCCUCCGAAGCUCUCAUCUAUGGAAGGGCAUGCGUCAGCUUCGGCUCAUCACCAACAUGAGGACUCAUAAUGACACGUGGUUUGCCGAUUACUUGCUAAGGGUCGGCAAUGGCACUGAGGAAGUUGAUGAUCAAGGCAACAUAGUACUCCCUGAAGAUAUUUGUCUACCGUCUACAGGCGAGGUUGAUGACCUAGAGAAGCUUAUUGAGCACGUAUUUCCAAGUCUAGACGACAACAUGGCUGAUUCGAAUUACAUGACAUCUCGAGCAAUCCUUUCCACAACUAAUGACAAUGUAGACAAAAUAAACAUCCGCAUGAUAGAGCGUUUUCAUGGAGAUGAAGUAAUCUACCAUAGUUUUGACAGUGCGGAGGAUGACCCAUAUGGCUACUAUGCUCAGGAGUUUCUGAAUGGAUUGACUCCUAACGGUCUUCCUUCGCAUGCUCUAAAACUAAAGCUGAACUGCCCUGUGAUACUUCUAAGGAACAUUGAUCCAGCUAAUGGGCUUUGUAAUGGCACUAGGCUUGUUGUUAGAGGUUUUGAGAGGAACACCAUUGAUGCAGAAAUCGUGAUUGGACAACACGCUGGCAGGAGGGUCUUCCUUCCUCGAAUACCUCUCCGCCCAUCUGAAAAUGAUAUGUUUCCGUUCAAGUUUAAGAGAAAACAAUUUCCUAUAAGGCUUAGCUUUGCUAUGACCAUUAACAAGGCUCAAGGGCAGACCAUCCCGAUUGUUGGUGUCUACCUACCCAAUCCCGUGUUCUCACAUGCCAAACCCAAACCAUACCGCUCUUGCACCCUUGCCACUACACCUAUCUUUGACAUGUCAUCAUCCAACAGCAUCGACGGCGUUGAUGAUCAUCAACAAGAACAAGAAGAUAAGAAGGAGUUGCACCCUGAUGAAGAACCGAACAGAGAUGGGAAUAUUGAUGUGGUUGCUAUCCUUGCCUAUGUUGGUCAGAUAGAAUUUAAGUGGGAUGCAAUAUAUAGGCGCCGCGUCCCUUCUCUUGAAAUUGGCCUCAUGAACUUUCAACGGCAGAUAAUUUUCUUACGUAUACGUGAAGAACACGUUGGGCCUAACUUCUGGCGUUUGCAAUGCACUGACAAUCUGUUCGAGAAGUUAGCUGUAACUUAUAUACAGCUAGAGGAAAUGAAUAAUAUAGACAUGCACGGAUGGAAUGAUAUGGGGCACCUUCCAUCUGCCUUAAGACACUCUUCAAUGGAGCAAGAAACACGCACCGCGGUGCUGAUUGACAAUGCCAUUGUUCGGUCAUUUCCUAAAUAUGAUGUGUUCAACUCUAACAUUUAUCUACUACCAUUUGUUGCCGUGGAUUCUUCGUACGGACUACUUGUAGUCGACAUGGAAUAUAGGAGGGUUCUCCCAAUUGAUCCAUCAAUCGACGUCUAUGUUGGACCAUACAACUUUCAUAACACUGAAACGAGGAAGGAGAUCACAAUGUUGAAACAAGAGUUCAACAAUGUGUUGCAGAUGAGGAUCCAUGGUUGGAAUACGAAUCUCAUGGACUGGUCAACGCACGGCAUCGCUUCAAAUGGCAAGCACAACGACUCCGCUUUCCUUGUCCUACGGGAGAUGGCCCACCAGAAUGGUACUACUGAUUCUGGUAGGAAGACAACUCACGAUUCAAUACAGCUCAGAAAGAACCUGCUGGUCCAGAUGCUGACGAUAAAAAACAAUGAAGCAGCUGGAAACAUACCAGAUGAAAUUAAAGCGGCAUUGAGGGUUUUAAACGACUGA
RNAcentral lists this ribosomal RNA (5115 nucleotides) under Triticum aestivum (bread wheat). Its description in RNAcentral is "partial small subunit ribosomal RNA". Lineage: Eukaryota; Viridiplantae; Streptophyta; Magnoliopsida; Poales; Poaceae. The record is from RNAcentral.